RNAcentral lists this ribosomal RNA (478 nucleotides) under uncultured bacterium. Its description in RNAcentral is "bacterial SSU rRNA". It matches the Rfam family "Bacterial small subunit ribosomal RNA", at positions 28 to 517 of the family's 1533-position model. The record is from RNAcentral.
GAUGAACGCUAGCGGCAGGCUUAAUACAUGCAAGUCAAGGGGGUAGCAAUACAACCGGCGCACGGGUGAGUAACGCGUACACAACAUACCAUAUACUGGAGUAUAGCUUUGGGAAACUGAAGGUAAUCCUCCAUAACAUUGCGAGAGGGCAUCUGAUUGCAAUUAAAGUUCCGGCGGUAUAUGAUUGGUGUGCGUUUGAUUAGCUAGUUGGUAGGGUAACGGCCUACCAAGGCGACGAUCAAUAGCUGGCGUGAGAGCGCGACCAGCCACACUGGAACUGAGACACGGUCCAGACUCCUACGGGAGGCAGCAGUAGGGAAUAUUGGACAAUGGGCGAAAGCCUGAUCCAGCCAUGCCGCGUGAUAGAUGAAGGCCCUCUGGGUUGUAAAUAUCUUUUAUCUGGGAAGAAACUCCUCUAUUCUUAGAGGCCUGACGGUACCAGAGGAAUAAGCACCGGCUAACUCCGUGCCAGCAGCCG